Molecule: long non-coding RNA, 4763 nt
Organism: Malania oleifera
Lineage: Eukaryota; Viridiplantae; Streptophyta; Magnoliopsida; Santalales; Ximeniaceae
Exons: 2
Source: RefSeq, a predicted model, not a curated record
AAGUCAAAGGAGAGGAAGUAGAUAUCACCCAGGCUGUGAAGACGUUCACAACUCUUUAACAUUUCUCUGAAAUCCGAGAAACACUUCGAUGACACCAAUUGGUCCCCGGCAACGGCGCCAAAAACUUGACUCGUUCUGAGUUGUGCUUCCAAGUGUAAAAGUGUCAAGUUGUAUCAAGGAUGAGUCCAGGAUCGUACUCCACAGGGACCACUGAGUAUCAAAAUAUUUAUAAAAGUUUAGUGAAAUCCUGUUGCUGAAAAAUGGGUUUUGAAAAUCUUUUUUUUGUCUUUUACGAUUUUGAAAACAGUAAACAAAGUGAGAGAAGCUUGAGUAAACUAUCAAAAUGAAACUGAAAUUUUAUCAAUUUUCCAAAAAUGUAAAUCUAAUAAUGCAACCAAAACUAAACAGAUUAAUUGAAACAAUUUUACCAAACGCUCGGGUUACGGGUCCAACGUUUAUUUGCUUCCACCGUUUACUAAUUUCCUAGGCCUUACUUCUUUUCUUGUUAAUCCAAUCAAGGCAUUAAUAAAAUGAAAUUUUAUUACUAACGAUCGAGUAAAUUAGCCACAUCCAAACGGAAGAAAAUAAAAACUCUUAUUAUGCAUUAACCGAAUUUUAUGUAAAAAUAAGUUGAUUAAAAUCCUAGAUUAAAUCAAGGUUUUGAUGUGCCUAACGUCAACAACAAAACAAGAGGCAAGAGCUAGCGAUUUAUCAACGAUUCCUUCAAUUUCGGGUUCAACCAAAUAAAAGUUUAUCAAUAAUUUAUUAGAAAAACUAAUAAACCAUAGAAAACAAAUGACAUUGACCCACAACCCGAGUUACCGAACUUAGCCACUCAUGCUUGCAAUCGCCCAAAAAACGGGAACCCUAUGUCUAAUCAGACAAGUAUCGAAACACGCGUUGACUAAAAACGAUAACUUUAAACACAUAACUAAAAUAUGCACGAAUGAAAACUCAAUUAAACACAUGUGCAGAUAAUAAAAAUCAAAGCUUUAGCAAAAUUAUGAAUAGAAAUAAUUAAGUGAAAAGAACAACUAUUCUAAUUUCUAAAAGAAAACAAAAAAUAUUUUUUUUUUCUUUUAUUUUAUUUUAGAACCAAGCCAAACUUAAUUUAAUUAAAGAAAGAACUUCAAUAAAAAUUAAAUAUUAAACAAAACCUAAACUUGUAUCCAAAUCCAAUCAAAUAACAAAAUAAGAAAGCAAGAUAAAAGAAAAGAGAGAGAGAGAGAAGAUGCAGCAACAGAGGAGCUGCUGCUGGCCUGCUGUAGCGGUGGCAGCUUGUAGCUCUGCUAGCUGGCCGUGGAGGCUGUUGGAGGGCUGAAAAUUUGGAGCAGACAGCAGAGGAGCUGCUGCUGGUGUUGCCGGAUGGUGGUUCGGGUCAGAGGAGAUACAAGGGAGAGUUCAGGGACUGCUGCUGCUGUGCAGGCUGUAGCAAGAUGAAGGCCGAAGGGACUACUGCAGCGAAGGAGAAACAGGGGAAAGAGGAAGCAAAGAGAGAGAUCACUGAGGAGAGAGGGAAAGAAAAGACAAAUUAGAGAGGAAGAGAAGAGAUUAGCUGGGAAAAAAAGAGUGAGAGGAAGAAUAAGUAGGAGAAAAUAAAAGAGAGAUAACAGAGAAUGCAAAGACAAGAAGAAGAAAAGAAAAAACAGAGGAGAAGAGAGUGGGAGAGAUGGUGCGCAGGGCACCCGCACACCGGGAAGAAGAAGAAGAUGUUAAAUAAGGGAAGAGGGAACCACAGCUGCCCUCGACCCGUGAAGCCAUCAAGCUGACCCGGUUAUCCAACUCGACCCGAAUUGGAAAGGGUUGACCCGGUAACUUGAUUUUUUUCAUUUUUUUCAUUCUCUGUUCAUCGCAAAUCUGACUCUUUUGGAGCCCGUUUCUCGCAAAACUCAAAACACGAAAGUUGUAGAUAAUCUUUUCCUCUUUCUCCAGAAAUUUGAAUCAUCUCAAUCGGAAUUCAGACGGAAAAUUUAUGCACGAAAUACGAACAGGUGUCGAUUUUGGUUUUCGAAAAUUUUCCUGCGAUAAAAAAUUCAUAAAUUGUGCAAUGAAACUCAAGAAUGAUAAUUUUUGCACUUUGUUAACAUAUUGGACAAUUUUGGGCAUUUAAUUAAAAAUAUAAACCGUAAAGUCCGGGUUAAGAUGCCCAAUUACACAGUUUUGACGCGUAAUCAACCACCCAACCUCUAGCCAAAGUGCCAUUACCUCUUGUUGAAAUGCUAUAUGAAGUGGUUGUAAUGUCUAUUAUUUCUUAAAUACUUUAAAAAUGAGUUGCUGAACCUGAAAAAAACUAAUUUUUGACUCAAAAAUUUAGAAAGCACUUUUUAAAAGAAAAAUCCUAGGGCUUAGGAAUUAAGGUACAAGUUUGGAAGGUCACUAAACCAAAUAAUCUUUUGAGUAGGCCAACUAGCUCCGUCAUUCUUUAUGGCAAAGUUUGUAUUUCUCAAAAAAACAAAACAAAAGAGAGUCAAUGUGCACUGGAGGUUUAACCAAAUAAAGCAUUCGCUUAAAUCCAUCAAUAAAACAAUAUACAAUGAUUAUCCACAUCCAUCACGUAAGAGACAGGAAAAUGGCAUUUUUUAGAGACCAUAGGCUUGCCUUGUUUAUUCAUGGAAGAAGAUAGGAGCAGUGUAAGACAGAUGGGGAUAUUGCUCAAGGAAACAUGUUGGAACAGAAUAAAUAUUAUCAGUGUAGUAUCCUCAUGUGAGAGAGAUAGCCAGAGUUGGGUUUUGGAUUCCUCAGCAUUCUAUUCUUCAAAAUCUUUAAAGCAUUUGACUAGAUCCUUUAAGUCCUUUCCCCUCUGGAAAGCUAAAGUCCCCUCUAAGAAAAAGGUGCUUACUUGGUUGUUCUUAAUAGAGUCACACUACCAUGUCCAAGAAUUUGUUAAGGAGAUGUCUUAUUCCCUUUGCUAUAUAUUCUUAAUCCAUCUAUGAACUUCUUCUUUUGCUGUUCAAAAAAGAAAAAAAAAGAAAAAAAAGAAUUAACACUAACUACCUGUUGCAGAGUAGGAGGCCAUUGAAGGCAUUAUCUUUGGAUGUUGUUUCUUGUGUUUUGAUAGCUCAGAAUCUGCAUCACAUCUUUUUUUACAUUGUUCUUUCUCUUGGGGGAUUUAGAAAAAGUUAUUUGCUGUUUUAGGAGAGAAAUGGGUUUGUCCAGAUUUGGUGGUGGAUUUUAUUAGUAUCUCUUUUACAGGAUUUGGGAAGGGUGUAGAUGGUUUUGUCUUGUGGGUUUGUGGUGUCUUUGCAGUUUUAUGGGGAAUUUGUAUGGAAGGGAAUGCUCAUUAAUCAUUAUCUUCUCAAGGAAGGGGACUUCUGAUACUUUGCUUUGGGAUAGGAUUUAGUACUUGGCUUCUCUCAUCAUUUGCAGCGAACUAUUUUAAAGGGUUGCCUUUCUCGUAUUUUCGCAGAGAUUGGAAGGCAGUUUUAUUUUGAUUGUUUUGUAGUCUAUUUUGGUUUCUUAUUUUCAUAGUGGGGAUCUAAUUCUCCUCUUUGUACAUUCUUUUCUCUACAAUGAAUAUAUCUUCUUUUUCUAUAAUAUACACACACAAAUAUAUAUAUAUAUAUAUAUAUAUAUAUAUAUAUAUAUCAUCAGCCUAAUAUGUUACGCACUCCAUGCAUCAGUAAUUGCCAUAAAAUAAAAUACAAUAAAGUGACUACAUCAGUAAGUAGAAACAGAUAUCUAUAUAUAUAUCUAUAUAUAUAUAUAUAUAUAUAUAUAUAUAUCUUACAAUCUUUAAAAAAGAGAGGAGCCACUAUCUGGAAGGCGUAAGUGGUGUGAACCACACUAUAAGGAUAGUGCAAAGAUAUCUGAAUUAAAAGCCACAAAUAUGAAAGAGAGAAAUAAAUAAAAACAAGCAAGGGAUUAAUUGGCGAAGUGUUUGUGCUUGGGACGAAAUUUCUCUUGAAUAUGGAAUUGUAUCCUUAGUAGUUCACAUGCUCUCACAGAGGCAGUUGACAACACAUUUAAUCACAACAUCAAUCCAAGGAUUUGUGUUGUGUUAUAUUUUUGUAGCUUGGAUAGAAAUUUGAGCCAUCUGCCUGUUGAAUCUUCAAUGGUAUUACGUGAGCUGCAUUCUUAUCUUUCUUGGGUCAUAGUGGGUUGGUUUCCUCUGGUCGCGAGUGUGUGUGUGUAUCUAGCCAAGAGUGUCUAUGGUACAUCUGUGUACAGUUAUUGUAAGAUAUCAUCAUUUGAUCUCAAUUACUCAUUGGUAAUUCAAAUGCCUUUUUUUUUUUUUACUUUUCUCAAUCUUUAUAUUUAUAGUUUUUCACAUGUAUAUGAUUUGUAUCUUAUUGUAAAUUUGUUCUAACGGUUUGUUCACUGAGAGGCUUUCCCUUUUCCUCAUGCAGAUCAUUUCUGCCAUUACUGGAGGAAUUACUGAUCUAUCUUUUCAUACUGUUGGCUAUACAUGGCAAAUUAUUAACUGAUUCUUAACAGCAUCAUAUUCUGUGUGGAAGAAAGAUAUAAUGAGUUUCACUGCAACAUUGAAAUUUUUUGUUUCAAUGGUCGAUGUCACUCUCCUUUUGAAGUAUUUCAAGUGGAAGGAUUUUUGCUUAGGAGCUCUUAAGGCAAAUCGAUGCAUACAACCAUGGGAGGAGGACGAUCCUUGUUCUUGGCAAAUUAAUGAAAGAAUAGUAGUAUGAUAAACUAUAAUCCAAUAAAACAAAAAAUGAAACGGACUGUAUAUUAGUUCAUUUCAUUUUUUUCUUUGUGUAUUUUUAAUGUUGAUUUUAAUUGAAUGAUAUGAUAUGUGCAUUUCUCCUUCA